Molecule: ribosomal RNA, 660 nt
Filed under: uncultured bacterium
Lineage: Bacteria
Description: bacterial SSU rRNA
Rfam family: Bacterial small subunit ribosomal RNA
Source: RNAcentral
GUCGAGCGAAGUUUUUAAAGUGGAUCCCUUCGGGGUGAAACUUUAAUUAUCUUAGCGGCGGACGGGUGAGUAACGCGUGAGAAACCUGCCUUUCACAAAGGGAUAGCCUCGGGAAACUGGGAUUAAUACCUUAUGAUACUUCUACUUCACAUGAAGAAGAAGUUAAAGCGUAAAGCGGUGAAAGAUGGUCUCGCGUCCCAUUAGCUAGUUGGUGAGGUAAUAGCUCACCAAGGCGACGAUGGGUAGCCGGCCUGAGAGGGUGAACGGCCACACUGGAACUGAGACACGGUCCAGACUCCUACGGGAGGCAGCAGUGGGGAAUAUUGCACAAUGGAGGAAACUCUGAUGCAGCGACGCCGCGUGAACGAUGAAGGCUUUCGGGUCGUAAAGUUCUGUCCUAGGGGACGAUAAUGACGGUACCCUAGGAGGAAGCCCCGGCUAACUACGUGCCAGCAGCCGCGGUAAUACGUAGGGGGCAAGCGUUGUCCGGAUUUAUUGGGCGUAAAGGGUUCGCAGGUGGUCCUUUAAGUCAGAUGUGAAAGAUCACAGCUCAACUGUGGUAAGCAUUUGAAACUGAAGGACUUGAGUUAAGGAGAGGAAAGUGGAAUUCCUAGUGUAGCGGUGAAAUGCGUAGAUAUUAGGAGGAAUACCAGUGGCGAA